This is a long non-coding RNA of Tripterygium wilfordii, 2191 nucleotides long. RefSeq lists it as uncharacterized. The transcript has 3 exons. NCBI's taxonomy places the organism in Eukaryota, Viridiplantae, Streptophyta, Magnoliopsida, Celastrales, Celastraceae. The record is from RefSeq and is a predicted model, not a curated record.
AACCCAAACUUUCCCUGGUUGCUACAACUCUUGUAUGUUAUGCGCGUUUGUCAUUAGGUUUUCUGUUUACGUAUAUGGGUUUGUUUGAAAAGUGAUGGUUUUUGUUAGUUUGAAUUGACAAGUUCGUGAAUUAUCGCCUUUUUUUCUUUUUCAUUGAAACGUUAGGCUGAGAACAAAUGUCCAUGUCUUGGUUGAUUGAUUGCACUUGGCUCAAUUUGUGAGGUACAUUUCUGUCUAAAUUUCUUUGUGUUAAUACGGGUGCGCUUUGUUGUGUGGCCGCUGGGUCGCAUGGAACACACUCACCUUCGGGUGGUAGAGACUGCUCCAUGGAUCACAGUGAACUACAUCGGUGGACAAACUCCAGUUUUUCACCUCUCUCACUGAGGUUAUGGGAUUGUAGCGUUUACUUCAAGAGUCUCUUGCAGCUGGUGCACAUGGCUCUUCAUUGUCCUCAAAUAGUAAGGGAGUAGAAGAAUUGUGGGUAACAAACAGUAAGUCAAACAGGCAAACAUCAUCAUUCUGUGUCUGACAGUGCACUUUCAUAUUUUGGAGCCCGACUGCUUCUUAGUUGAUGUCACCAGUUUGGAAAUUCAAAGUUGGAGAAUUAUGUUCCUCUUCAGUGCAAGGAUCAACCUCCAAUGCUACUUGGUUCCCAAUUUCCAUGCUCCACUGAGAGGCGACAUGCUGCCAGAGUGAUUGCAGCUUCCUCCAGCUUUGGAUCUCCAUCCUCACUUUCUGAGUUGUACCAUUGGAAAUCAACUGGCAGGCAGCGCUCCCCCAGUCCCUAUCGCAAUCACUCAAGUAGGCGUACUCAGUCAAAAGCUGCUUUCCCACCUAUGUUUCACAAUCCCAUGUUUGAUCACUGAUGGUGAAGCAUUUGAUGAGACUGAUGUCGACAGAGUUGAUGGGUUAACACCUGGCAUGGGUUGAGUAUCAGCUUCACAUUGGCCUGACAAUACUAUUAGUGAGCACAAGUUCCACAAAGCUGUCACUGAACUCCAGAAGUUGGAUACUUCACCAGAUCCUAGUGCUAGCUCAAGAGAGGGUUUCAGGUGGAGCAGUGGCAGCAGUUAUGAUCUCGGAUUUGAUGGAAGAGGAGAUGGUAGAGAGCCUGAGGUCCCCUAUUGACCCUGUGGCAGAUAAAAAUGUGGUUGAAAACAACUCCCAUCCCAUGCACAAGGAUCCCGCAAUGGUUGGUGUUUGUAGAAAUUUUUUGUGGCAGAAAUCCCUUUGGAGCCCACGUUGAAUGAUUUGAGGAGGUGAUAUGCCAACAGCUGGAGUGCUACGUUGCAGCCAUGGGUUUCAUGCAGAAUGUUUGAAGCAGGUAACCCCAAAAACCAAGAUCCGCAGCCUUUAUUGCCCACUGUGCCUGAAAAUUAUUGGACCUAUGGAAGAAUCUCCCUCUGUUUCACAGCCUUUGCAGAUGGCCCUUGAUUUGUCCAGAGGACAGAGAAGUUGUGAUAUCCGAGGCCCAGGAAGGAUGAGGUCGGAAAUCAUAUCAAAUACGGAUUAAGGCAAGACUGGUCUCGGGUAAUAAAGGCUUGUAAAACCAUAACCUUCCCCACUAGUUUCUCUAAACUUUCCCCUCUUGUUCUCCUCUCCUUGUUUCCAUUUUCUUUUUGUUAUUGGUAUGGGAUCUUGAGUGAUUAAGAAGGUUAUGAAAGCUUGUUGUUAACACAACUACAUAGCUAGUACUUAAUACACUUGUAUGUAGUUGUGUUAACGACAAGCUUUGAUAACCUUCUUAAUCAACUCAAGCUCCGAUACCAAUAACAAAAAGAAAAUGGAAGCAAGGGGAGAAGAGAGCAGGAGAGAAAAGUGUAUAUAAUGUAGUAGUGGGGAAUGACAGUAGGUUCAUUAAAGAAUCACCUAAAAAGUCAUUUUUCAUACAAGGGAAAAACAAGUAAAGAUAUUCUUAGUGCGAAGGUGCUGUGCAGGGAUGGGCCAUCAUCGUCUCCAAGCAGGGAAAUUGUUCGACACUGAGUAUCCAUCUGAUGGUAUUCUAUAUGUAAUUCGCUUGUAAGGAAAUUUCAGGACUUAGAUGAUUGGUAUUUUUCUAAUGAAUUUUCUUGGGCUCAAUUUUUUGAAGUUACAGUAAAGAGCCCCUGUAUGUUACUUUGUUCAUUGUGUAAUGCGACACCACGUCUUAACCAGAUUGUCGUUGGCCAUUAAUGGUGUUUGUGGCAUGAGA